This 117-nucleotide non-coding RNA is filed under the name Deltaproteobacteria bacterium. RNAcentral's name for it is "TPP sequence". It matches the Rfam family "TPP riboswitch aptamer (THI element)". From Rfam's summary of the family: Vitamin B(1) in its active form thiamin pyrophosphate (TPP) is an essential coenzyme that is synthesised by coupling of pyrimidine and thiazole moieties in bacteria. The previously detected thiamin-regulatory element, thi box was extended, resulting in a new, highly conserved RNA secondary structure, the THI element, which is widely distributed in eubacteria and also occurs in some archaea. The record is from RNAcentral. Lineage: Bacteria; Pseudomonadati; Myxococcota; Myxococcia.
GUUUUUGGCUGGGGGUGUCCACCUCUGGUGGACUGAGAGCCCGAGGAGGCGGCAUUCGGGCAACCCUUUGAACCUGAUCCGGAUAGUACCGGCGUAGGGAAGCGUCAAAGUCCUUGC